CCCUUAGAUGUCCUGGGCCGCACGCGCGCUACACUGAUGCAUUCAACGAGUAUUUCCUUGGCCGAGAGGCCUGGGCAAUCUUUUAAACCUGCAUCGUGAUAGGGAUAGAUUAUUGCAAUUAUUAAUCUUGAACGAGGAAUUCCUAGUAAACGCAAAUCAUCAAUUUGCAUUGAUUACGUCCCUGCCCUUUGUACACACCGCCCGUCGCACCUACCGAUUGAAUGGUCCGGUGAAAUCUCGGGAUUGUGGCCAGUUCACUUUAUUGGGAGUUGGCUGCGAGAACUUGCUUAAACCUUAUCAUUUAGAGGAAGGUGAANUCGUANCA
This 325-nucleotide ribosomal RNA is filed under the name uncultured eukaryote. RNAcentral describes it as "partial 18S ribosomal RNA". It matches the Rfam family "Eukaryotic small subunit ribosomal RNA", at positions 1470 to 1796 of the family's 1831-position model. The record is from RNAcentral.